This 460-nucleotide ribosomal RNA is filed under the name uncultured bacterium. RNAcentral's name for it is "partial 16S ribosomal RNA". It matches the Rfam family "Bacterial small subunit ribosomal RNA", at positions 338 to 795 of the family's 1533-position model. The record is from RNAcentral.
CCUACGGGAGGCAGCAGUGAGGAAUAUUGGUCAAUGGGCGCGAGCCUGAACCAGCCAUGUAGCGUGAAGGAUGACUGCCCUACGGGUUUUAAACUUCUUUUAUAAAGGAAUAAAGUGAGGCACAUGUGCAUUUUUGUAUGUACUUUAUGAAUAAGGAUCGGCUAACUCCGUGCCAGCAGCCGCGGUAAUACGGAGGAUCCGAGCGUUAUCCGGAUUUAUUGGGUUUAAAGGGAGCGUAGAUGGGUUGUUAAGUCAGUUGGGAAAGUUUGCGGCUCAACCGUAAAAUUGCAAUUGAUACUGGCAGCCUUGAGUACAGUUGAGGUAGGCGGAAUUCGUGGUGUAGCGGUGAAAUGCGUAGAUAUCACGAAGAACUCCGAUUGCGAAGGCAGCUUACUAGACUGCCACUGACAUUGAUGCUCGAAAGUGUGGGUAUCAAACAGGAUUAGAUACCCGAGUAGUC